This 497-nucleotide ribosomal RNA is filed under the name uncultured bacterium. RNAcentral describes it as "partial 16S ribosomal RNA". It matches the Rfam family "Bacterial small subunit ribosomal RNA", at positions 28 to 507 of the family's 1533-position model. The record is from RNAcentral.
GAUGAACGCUGGCGGCGUGCCUAAUACAUGCAAGUCGAGCGAACAGACGAGGAUCUUGCUCCUUCGACGUUAGCGGCGGACGGGUGAGUAACACGUAGGUAACCUACCUAUAGGACUGGGAUAACUUCGGGAAACCGGAGCUAAUACCGGAUAAUAUUUCGAACCGCAUGGUUCGAUAGUGAAAGAUGGCUUUGCUAUCACUUAUAGAUGGACACGCGCCGUAUUAGCUAGUUGGUAAGGUAACGGCUUACCAAGGCAACGAUACGUAGCCGACCUGAGAGGGUGAUCGGCCACACUGGAAGUGAGACACGGUCCAGACUCCUACGGGAGGCAGCAGUAGGGAAUCUUCCGCAAUGGGCGAAAGCCUGACGGAGCAACGCCGCGUGAGUGAUGAAGGUCUUCGGAUCGUAAAACUCUGUUAUUAGGGAAGAACAAACGUGUAAGUAACUGUGCACGUCUUGACGGUACCUAAUCAGAAAGCCACGGCUAACUACGUG